AAGUCGUAACAAGGUCUCCGUUGGUGAACCUGCGGAAGGAUCAUUAACACAAUUUUACUGUGAUAAAUCCGUUGAAUUCUCGAAUUCAAUGGUAUCCACCCCAUUAUUGACGAACUUUUCUAGAUGUUAAAACAUAGAGCUAGUCUUUAUGUUUUUAACAUUCUAAACCUUUUUCUAUAUCCACACAAAUUUAAACCCCUUUUACAACAUGUAUUAGACUGAAAUGAAAAUUUUCUAUCAAAAAAUUGAUAAAAACAACUUUUAACAACGGAUAUCUUGGCUCUC
RNAcentral lists this unclassified non-coding RNA (285 nucleotides) under fungal sp. Its description in RNAcentral is "partial internal transcribed spacer region". The stretch from base 1 to 46 matches the Rfam family "Eukaryotic small subunit ribosomal RNA", at positions 1786 to 1831 of the family's 1831-position model. The record is from RNAcentral. Lineage: Eukaryota; Fungi.